GGUUGGUCCCAGUGCAGUGGUGUUUACAACUAAUUGAUCACAACCAGUUACAGAUUCCUUUGUUCCUUCUCCACUCCCACUGUUCCACUUGAUCAGUCUUAA
Molecule: unclassified non-coding RNA, 102 nt
Organism: Microcebus murinus (gray mouse lemur)
Lineage: Eukaryota; Metazoa; Chordata; Mammalia; Primates; Cheirogaleidae
Rfam family: Y RNA
About the family: Y RNAs are components of the Ro ribonucleoprotein particle (Ro RNP), in association with Ro60 and La proteins. The Y RNAs and Ro60 and La proteins are well conserved, but the function of the Ro RNP is not known.
Source: Ensembl